UGUAUAACCCAGGCUUGACAGUAACAGAUCGAUGUGACAGGUCUUCCAGUAGUACACAGAAGAUAACGAUACUCAAUAGGCUUCCUGUAAUUAACAACCUUCCAAGUACUGUGUCAAUAUUAGAGGAUACACCAGAUAAUACUCUUAUAUUUACAAUAAAUGCAACAGACACCGUUACUGACCCGUUAACAUGCGACAAGGCAGGAGGAGGCGGUAUUCCAUUUUCUGUUUCUGUCAUACCAUCAACAACAGAUAAUGGCGUGUUCAUGAACCCUGGUGUGACAUUGAAUUAUGAUAAUAACCCUUCUUACACACUAACUGUAAGAUGUGAUGAUGACGAUGACACUGUAGAUGGCGUAUUGACAAUCAAUAUUAUACCCAAUCAGGCUCCUGUUAUCAAUAGCUUGCCGGAUUCUGUAAGUUUCCUGGAAGACGUCAAUACCAACACCUUACUACAUACAAUCAAUGUAACGGACUUUGAAGGAGAUUCAGUUUCAUGUACUCUCAAUCCUACCAGUGGUAUAUUUGAUGUUUCACUCAUACCUGCUUUGAACGUUGAAUAUGGAAUUUUCCUGACAGGAGGGACAACUCUUGACUACGAUACAACGAACUCCUACUCAUUGGCAGCAAAGUGUGAAGACCAAAGACGAAGUGAUACUGAAACUUUUACCAUUAAUUUGAUACGU
Long non-coding RNA from Mytilus californianus (California mussel), 686 nucleotides. RefSeq lists it as uncharacterized. The transcript has 5 exons. Lineage: Eukaryota; Metazoa; Mollusca; Bivalvia; Mytilida; Mytilidae. The record is from RefSeq and is a predicted model, not a curated record.